Choloepus didactylus (southern two-toed sloth) is the source of this 7382-nucleotide RNA transcript. It is a transcript of the gene named vegetative cell wall protein gp1-like, with no coding region annotated. The transcript has 3 exons. NCBI's taxonomy places the organism in Eukaryota, Metazoa, Chordata, Mammalia, Pilosa, Megalonychidae. The record is from RefSeq and is a predicted model, not a curated record.
CAGAGGACCACCUUCAAUUGCAGAAAGAGGGGGUUUUAGGGCCUUGCUGUCUUGCCUCCUGGAGGGACGGGACCCCCCCCCCCCACCUCCACCUGCAGCCUCUGCCUAGCACCCUGUGGUUUCUGUCCCGGCCCAGCUUUAGGGCUGCAGCAUCCUUGUCUGGUUCUGUGGGCUGGUUUCUGGAAAACUCUGCCCCCGGGGCCACAGCAGAAUUGGGGCCUCCAUUUGAACUGUGCAUGAAGGGGGGGUCCGACCUCAGGUACGGGACUGAGGCGAAGAUGUAACCGGCCGCAUAUCAAACCACCUGUCCAGAGCCAAGGCUGGAAGACAGACAGAACACCAGGCCUCUAAAAAUGGUGCCCGAGACCCUUCAGGCUGUGGGCGGGAACCACAUGUGCUGGAGAAGCAAGAGCCGUCUGCGUUUUUGGUCACGUGUCCGACCCCCUCCAGCAGGGGGCAAAGCCUGAGGCCCUCCUGCUUUGCUCCAAAGCCACCAGCGCCGACUCCCACCCAGAGCCAAGGAGGAGGUGCCCGAAGGGGAAACAGCGAUGGGCAUGGGAAGGCCGAGGCCGGGAGCAGCUGGGGCGCUCUCGGACCUGGGCAGUUUACAGCCCACGAGACGCAGCUGCUUUUACCACAGGGGGACAAAAGUGACCGUGGCCGUGUUGAGGGAGCGCCUGCUGCGGCGGCUGAGUCAGGAGCCUACUGCUCGGUAAAGGCCCGGGACAGGGUGGCCUGAACACCGGGCCUGAGGCCACGGCGGCCCAGCCGGUAGGUUCUGGGCCAAAAAGGAACCAAACUGAGAGGGAAAUACUCGAGCUCACUAAGCCGAUUUAAAAACCGACAAGAAGGUGUAAAGAGAAGUGAGGCGGGCCACCGUGUGAUAGUGUGGCUGGACCUCGAAGGCGUCACGGCGAGUAAAGUGAGCCAGCACAAGGACAGACACCGUACGGUCUCUACGUGAAAUGCUGAGAAUCAGCAAAUGCACAGAGAGAGAGCAGAGGGGUGGCUGGCAGGGAUGGGGUCACUGCUCACUGAGCGGGAGUUCCGGUUUGGGACGACGAGAAGAGUCUGGGAACGGACGGUGGUGAUGGUUCCACAGUCUUGUCAACGGACUUAAUGCCAAAGAAUGGUCCACUCAAAAUGGUGAAAAUGACUCUUACGUUCUGUAUAUUUUACCACCCUGGAAAACAAAAAAACUCAAGAGCUGAUGCCACUUGAGCUCUUCUGAAUAAACUCAGAAUUCUAACCAUCCCUCUCUUGCACAUUUCCCAGGCCCUGGCUAGUCCCAGUGAGGGCCCAGGAAGGAGCGAGCGCGGUCGGAUCACGAAGGAAACGUUCCCCACACACCUCUGUAACUGCGAGAUCUCCUGACUGAUGUCAUCAAGUUCUUUCACACCAGUAAACUCUCCGGACACAAGAGAAGUGGAACUUUCCUAGAAUACAAUGCAAAUAUGAAAUUAUUCAUCAUCAAACUGGCAAAACCACAGAGCAGUGAUUAGAGGGUCUCAAAGUCCGGGAAUGAAACAAUCUUAUCCUUAGCUCACAGGAUGAGGUAGCAAACUGCCGACCGCCAGCCCGGGGAGCACUGGGGCCCGGCCCCCUCCUGGCCUCACCCGGGAUGAGCCUGGGGAGCACUGGGGCCCGGCCUGGGGAGCACUGGGGUCCAGCCCCCUCCCGGCCUCACCCGGGAUGAGCCCAGGGAGCACUGUGGCCUGCCCUGGGGAGCACUGGGGUCCCGGCCCCCUCCCCGGGUGGUCCUGCCCGGGCUGCCUCGGCUGGAGGACCGUGGGGCUGCGCGUGGGGCUCCCGUGCGGCCGCAGUGCCACCCCGUGGUGGUUGAGGGUGGCACCCCGUGGCAACUCACCGGGCCGGGUGUGCCGCGCUCCGAGGGCGGGACCAUGUCGGGCGAGAGGAGCUGGGGGGGGUCGGCGCCGUGGCUGACCUUCUGCUGAAUGAAAUACAUAGCUAACGCGAACUGGUCUUUGCUUAACUUCCCCAUUUGCCUCGUAUCUGCCAGAGCCCUGGAGAGACGAGGGACGUCAGUUACACACCACAGACGACUCCACCUGCCAGUGAGGAUUGGGGCCCGGCACCCAGCACGCGGGGGACAGGGUGGGCUGCAGCUCCUUCUCUACGGAGCAUCUAAACCACGGGCCUCAGGAACCCCAGGCCGGCGAGCAGCCCUCCUGGGUGAAGGGGCCCGUGGGGCACCCCCCAGAGCCCCAGGAGAGCAUCCCAGCUGAGGGGGUGUCCAGGGGGGCUGCCGGAGCCAGAGGGAGGGAUCCUCGCCCAGGAUGGAGCCCCACAGAAGCCCCUGCCCACGCCUGGGAGCGCUGGUGGGUGACUGGGGCACAGCUGCUUCCUUCCCCCCCGAGGCUGCGUGCGCCACCCCCAGACAGGGCCCCCCACAACCCCGGGAGGUGGAAGUUGAAGCAGCACAGCCACGGCCCUGCUGUGGGCCCCGUUCUGGCGGUUUCCUACAGUGCAGACGGCGGCCUUCUGGUUGUGGGGAUGUGGGGGGCUGUGCUGACACUACACGGAGCGGCUGGCAGCACAACCCGCCAAGGGGCAGAGCACAGCGACCCCGAGAGCCGGCAGGCGCUCCCCGACCAGCCUGGUGGAGGAGGAGGCCCUCUGGGGAAGGGGAGCUCAACCCGACAGCACUGCGAUCGCCAUGCCUGGGACACAGGUGUUCUCUCCACGCAGCCUGUCACUUCCCACCAUGUCUACAGCUGCCGCAAAAGCCACACAACUUGUUUCUAAUGCAACAACAGAGGUGGGGGUGUUUACACAGACCGAGACCCGACGUGGCCAGUGCGCGGAGAGCGGAACGUGGCGGAAUGCAGCGAGCCCACUGAGUUUUGUGGAUAAAGGCUGUUUGAAGGGUGAAGAGGGCGUCCUCGCGAUGAGGGGCUGCCAGGGACCGUCCCGACUGCCGUAUGGGGCCUGGCUCCCCUGCUGAGUGUGCGCCAUGCUGGUGAGUGACCCCUUUGGGAGGCACAGCCAGGAAGGACACCAAGUGUCCCCGGCAUGUGGCUUUCACCACCUACUCGGGGACCCUCUCCAGGAGCAGACGAGGCUCUGGCUCCUGCUGCCUGCGGGAAGCCCUCCAGGCCCGGGGCUCUAAGGGGAAGCUGGGGAACGCUCCCCGCCACAGCCCACCGCCCUGGAGGAGAGGGGGGACACUCACAGGGGCUCACCCUCCACCCGGGGGUUGGUCUCUGACCUCCACAGAACACAGGGCUGCCGGAACCUUCCGGGCCUCUGCUACUCUCUGUACCCCAACGGCUGUGGAAGGAGCACAGCCGCCAGCAACCACUGAUUCCGGCCCUUCAACAGAUCAGCCGAGAGCUCACAGGAGGGACGAUGGGGGCCCCCUGGCUAGGAGGGAGAGGGCUGCCGUCCCCCCGUGCCCCCCGCUCACCCCACCACCAGUGAGAGCCGAGACGGAGACGUGACGCCAGAGGGAGGUGCCAGCCCAGGCCCUGCGGCCGUCCCAGAGGCUGCGGAGCGGGGAGCCCCCCAUGAGAGUCCGCCCAGCCGGGCCCCCGGCCCCCGCCCCGAGCACCGCCUUGCCCGCGCUCACCAGAUGUGCGCCAGGAGGCUCUGGGAGAGGCCGGAGUGCAUGAAGAUCUCCUUCACCUCCUGGCCGCUCACGUAGCCAUCCGCAUCCAAGUCGGUCUUCAGGAAAAUCUCAUCGAAGCGCAUCUUAUCAGUCACCGGCACCACCCAACUCACCGAGGGCUGGAAGAAGUUUCCACACAGUCAGCCCCGAGCUUUUCUCAACCAGCAAACGGCAGGACCGCUGAAGGACUUCCACGCGUGCUUCAGCACAGAGGCCUCUGCGAGAUCCUGGGCUGAGCAGACGGCACCUGCGGCCAUGUGCCUCCCGCCCACCCGCCGCCCGGCUCCCCUUCAGCUCAGGCGAGAGGCAGAGACCCACUCGGCCUCCCACCCGCCUGCGGGGAGCGCCUGGCGCCCGUUCUGGAAGCACUGUCCACUGAACACCGGCCAGGGCCAGCCGCGUGCAGCCCUCCCCUGCACUGGCACCCCCUGCCCACCCCCAGGACACUGGACACCACCCUUCUUUGUCCCUGGCUCAGCUGCCCUGCAAGGGAGACGCUGUGACCUUCAUCCCAGGGGCAACCUCCCUGAAAACAAGUCUCCGAGUCGAAACCCAAACUCAACCCAAGUGCCAUUUGUGGAGGAAAACGACCGUCUCACUCCAUGUUUCUGGACCGUGGCGUGGCCUGAGGCCAGCUUGCCUUCUCCCCACCACUGCCACGCACGCUGCCUGGCCCCAAGUUAUCUUCCAGGCUUGAAUUCCCGAGACACCUGCUCAACCACAGGAGUCUGAAGUAAGAGAAGAGUCCCCUCGGGGCAGACGCCACACGUGGCCCUUCCCCCAACGUGAGGGCCCCAUGGCUCCUGUUCCCCAAAUCUGAGAGAAAGCCUUGGAAGUCGCCUGUCCUCCAAGACACUUAGGAGACACAGAAAAUGCCACAAAUGGGCAAACUGGGCUGAAAACGGGCAGGGAGAGAAGGCAAACUCCGUCUAAAACAAGGACUAAAAUCUUAUUGCAGGUGGGAAGACGGCAGAGGAGGACGCUCCAGGAAGCAGUCCCACCGCCGAAACGAUGACUGAACAGGCAGGAGCAGUCUGAGUCAACCAUCUGGGAACUCUGGAGUCACGGGGGACACUGGGCAGCUCCCAGGGAAGAGCUGGAGGAAGGGGCUGGAGAACGGAGGUGACUGCGGUGAGCUGGCAGCGGGCACGGGACAGGCAGCAGCGGGGUCGGCAGCCGGGCUCCCAGGGCGACCCACUGGGGGGACCCGGGGCAGGGCAGGGGCUCCUCUCUGAUCACUGGAUCUGCUCGCUGGGGCCAGCUCCGAAGGCGGCUGCUGCCCCAACCUCCUCAGGAACGGCCGCAGAGGAGCCUUAAACACGGCGCACCUAGACACGCAGGUUUUUCUAUUUUACACUUUCUGUUACCUGCUUGGGAGAAAAACUCGCUGGGAAAACAUCCACACUGCUGGCCCCAGCCCUCAACAGCACAACAAAACACAAACAAAAAAUCCUAUUGUAGAGAGCAGGACGUUCGGCUUCCAAGCAGGGAUCUCCGUCUCGUGCACGACCGGAAGAGUGAAUUCAAAAUGGGUGAGGAUGAGAAGGGCAAGAAGAUUUCUGUUCAGGAGUGUGCCCAGUGCCACGCCGUGGGAACGGGAGGCAAGCACAAGACUGGGCCAAACCUGCACGGUCUGUUUGGGCAGAAGGCAGGUCGGGGCCCUGGGUUCUCUCACACGGACGCAACAAGAACAAAGCCAUCGCUUGGGAAGAGGAGACACUGAAGGAGUAUUUGGAAAAUCCCAAGAAGUACAUCCCAGGAACAAAAUGAUCAUUGCUGGCAUUAAGAAGACUGAUAGCUCAUCUCAGAAAAGCUACUAAUGAGUAAUAGUUGGUCACUGAGUUAUUUAUUACAAAAAAGAAAUGUCUUGUGACCUUUUUACAGGUACCAUACUUAAACUGAUCUCACACAGAAUUCAGAUCGUGAAUGGCAUAAUUUUUCUUGGACAGUCCUGAGGUAAAUAAACUCAGCUUCUAGUUAAAUGAAUAUGAUCAAGCUUUUCGAAUUUUGAUAGUAAUUCUGGUUUGGCAAGUGUUAUCACUAUGUUCCCCUUCUAAAGGUUUAACUGGACUUGAUGCUAGGUUGAAUUAGUGCUGUUCAACUUUUCACAAAGACAAAGGUGAAUGUCAACUCACAACCUAUAGGGGAUUGGUUUUAUAUUUAGAGUUAUAUAACUGGCUUUAUGAAUAUAUUUAAAUACUAAGGAAACCCCUUCAUUGUCUCAUAGAACAGAGCAAGACUCACUUGGUUUCAGCUGGUGUUCAUCAGCCUGUUUAAAAUAAGCUAGCUAUGUCCACUUUAUCUUUCUGGUCUUAAUUGUGUAAAUCUAAUUAAAAUUCCCUGUAUCUGAAAAGUUGCCUUUUAAUUCAAAAAAGGCAUUUUGGUGUGGUUUACGUAUAAUGCAAAAUAAAGAAUGCUGAACACUUCUCAUAUUUUAUAGAUGAUCUAUAAGGUUGGAUGCUUUUUAAAAGCCAGUGCGACAAGAUACAGUAGCAAGUUAAAUUUUGCUUUUAAAUUCUUUACUAUUCAAGUCAGACUAAGUUGUAAUUCAGGGCUGUCUUUAAACUGCUAUUCAAAACCACAUAAAAUCAUAGACCACUGAAUUAUGUGUGGUUGGUCAUGAUGUUUUUGCCAACUCAUAAGGCUUUAGGUGGAUGAGACGUUUGUAAAUGUUGUAAUCAUAAGGCUUACGAUGAUUAAAAAAACACACAGACCAUGAGAAAAAAAUCCUAUCAACCCCAGAGGAGUGGGGAAAGUCAAUCUCCAGAGUUACAACAACAUAAUACUCAGAAUAUCCAGUUCUCAAAAAUAACAAAAAAAUUACAAAACACACAAAGAAACAGGACACUAGGGCCCAUUCAUAGGAAAAAAAGAAUUUGCUAGAAACUAACCCAGAGGAAGUGUAUCAUACGUUGGAACUAUUUAUUGGUCCAAGACUUGAAGCCAACUGCUUUAAGUAUGUGCAGUGAGUGCAAGGAAUCCAUGCACGAAGAACUAAAAGAAAUUAGGAAAAUGUUGUCUGAACAAAGUAAAGACAGAAAUUAUAAAAAAAGAACCAGAACUGGAGCUGCAAAGUACAGUCACUGAAAUGAAAAACUCACAGCACAGACUCCAAAGCGGGCGCGAGCAGGCAGAAGGAAAACCCCGUGGACUCGAGAGUCAGGCAGCAGAAGCCAGAGCAGAAAGGAAAACUAACGGCGGAAAAGGAACCGAGCCUGGGGGCCUGGGGUCACCGCCAAGGGCACCCACAUACGAACCACUGUAGUCCCAGAAGGUCAGAGGGAAACAAAGGGGCAGAAAAAGCAUUUGGAGAAAUGAUGGCCAAAAACUUUCCAAAUCUGAUGAAAGACACGAACACACACAUCCAGGAAGUGUGACGAACUCCCAGCGAGCGGGACACACCCUAAGAGAUCCACGCCAGGGAAGCCCAGACCCGCAAAGAUGAGGAGAGGAUUCCGACGGCACCAGAAGGAAGCCACCUGUCCCACAUGAGGGAUCCCUGGUAAGAUCAGUAGCUAUUUCUCACCAGAAACCAUGGAGCCGGAAGACAGUGGGAUGGCACAAUUAAAGACUUACGGGAAAACUGUCAACCAAGAAUUCCAUAUCCAGGAAAAUUAACCUUCAAACAUGAAGGACAACGUGAUUGGGAAAGUGAUGUGGACCACACUCCCCUUUGUGCAGUGUAUGGAUGGUUAAGAAGAAAAACAGGGGCAAAAAGAAAAAAAAAAAACUAAAGGAAGAAUGGGGGGGACAA